UUAACUAUUAUAUAGUACUCAGACAUCACUAACAUUCAGAGUUUGGUUCUCUGGCGGGCACACACGAGCAGAGCCCGCAGUGGAGGCCACGGCCCGCCAAAGCAACAAUAGUAUGUAAACACGGGUGGGUGUAAGCUCCUAAUCGCUGUUUCCAACGUUCGGUAGCCUCACUUGUAAUGAUCCUUCCGCAGGUUCACCUACGGAAA
This 206-nucleotide unclassified non-coding RNA is filed under the name uncultured fungus. RNAcentral's name for it is "sequence contains ITS1, 5.8S rRNA gene". Lineage: Eukaryota; Fungi. The record is from RNAcentral.